Molecule: ribosomal RNA, 392 nt
Filed under: uncultured delta proteobacterium
Lineage: Bacteria; Deltaproteobacteria
Description: bacterial SSU rRNA
Rfam family: Bacterial small subunit ribosomal RNA
Source: RNAcentral
AAUGGGCGAAAGCCUGACGCAGCAAUGCCGCGUGAGUGAAGAAGGCCCUCGGGUCGUAAAGCUCUUUAUUUCGGGAAGAUGAUGACGGUACCGAAGGAAGAAGCACCGGCUAACUACGUGCCAGCAGCCGCGGUAAUACGUAGGGUGCAAGCGUUGUUCGGAAUCACUGGGCGUAAAGGGCGUGUAGGCGGAACGACUAGCGAGGGGUGAAAUCCCGGGGCUCAACCCCGGAACUGCUCUUCGAACUGUCGAUCUAGAGGAGGUCAGGGGCCGGCGGAAUUCCUGGUGUAGAGGUGAAAUUCGUAGAGAUCAGGAGGAACAUCGGAGGCGAAGGCGGCCGGCUGGGGCCAUUCUGACGCUGAGGCGCGAAAGCGUGGGGAGCAAACAGGAUU